GACGACCGGCCGAACACUGCUGUGCUCGGCCCACAAGUGGAGGCUCCGAUCUCCCACCUGACCGUCCCCCCGGGGCGGCGGGUCACCGGUCAGGCGGCCGCCACCGUUCCGUACGGACGGUGGAGUCGCCCGAUGUGCGCCCCGCGGGUCACCGCGGCGGUGCUCCGGCAUUCUCGGAGUCCCGCCUGUGUCCUGUCCGGGGCAUUUUUC
This 210-nucleotide non-coding RNA is filed under the name Actinobacteria bacterium OK074. RNAcentral describes it as "Streptomyces RNA 1601". It matches the Rfam family "Streptomyces RNA 1601". Rfam says of the family: Identified by deep sequencing of transcriptome at the end of exponential growth phase. Appears longer on northern blot than sequencing transcript. The record is from Rfam by way of RNAcentral. Lineage: Bacteria; Bacillati; Actinomycetota; Actinomycetes.